UGGGGAAUCUUGCACAAUGGGCGAAAGCCUGAUGCAGCGACGCCGCGUGGGGGAUGAAGCAUUUCGGUGUGUAAACCCCUUUCGACCCGGACGAAUGCCUCGCAAGAGGAGUGACGGUACGGGUAUAAGAAGCCCCGGCUAACUACGUGCCAGCAGCCGCGGUAAGACGUAGGGGGCCAGCGUUGUUCGGAAUUACUGGGUGUAAAGGGUUCGUAGGCGGUGUGGCAAGUUGGGAGUGAAAUCUCUGGGCUCAACCCAGAGGCUGCUUCCAAAACUGCUGUGCUUGAGUGUGGGAGAGGCGCGUGGAAUUGCAGGUGUAGCGGUGAAAUGCGUAGAUAUCUGCAGGAACACCCGUGGCGAAAGCGGCGCGCUGGACCACAACUGACGCUGAGGAACGAAAGCUAGGGGAGCAAACAGGAUUAGAUACCCCCGUAGUCC
Molecule: ribosomal RNA, 438 nt
Filed under: uncultured bacterium
Lineage: Bacteria
Description: bacterial SSU rRNA
Rfam family: Bacterial small subunit ribosomal RNA
Source: RNAcentral